CACGUAUUUAGCCGGAGCUUUCUUCUAUGGUGCUGUCAUUAUCUUCCCAUAGGACAGAACUUUACGAUACGAAUACCUUCUUCGUUCACGCGGCGUCGCUGCAUCAGGGUUUCCCCCAUUGUGCAAUAUUCCCCACUGCUGCCUCCCGUAGGAGUUUGGACCGUGUCUCAGUUCCAAUGUGGCCGUUCAUCCUCUCAGACCGGCUACUGAUCGUCGCCUUGGUGGGCUGUUAUCUCACCAACUAGCUAAUCAGACGCGAGCCCAUCUAUGACCGAUAAAUCUUUGACCGUUAAAACAUGUGUUUCUACGAUUUUAUGCGGUAUUAAUCCCGGUUUCCCGAGGCUAUCCCACUGUCAUAGGCAGGUUGCUCACGCGUUACUCACCCGUUCGCCACUCUCAUUAGUAAUCUUCCACCGAGGUUUCUGUUUACUAAAUCCCGUUCGACUUGCAUGUGUUAAGCACGCCGCCAGCGUUCGUCCUGAGCCAGGAUCAAACUCU
This 498-nucleotide ribosomal RNA is filed under the name uncultured Finegoldia sp. Its description in RNAcentral is "partial 16S ribosomal RNA". The record is from RNAcentral. Lineage: Bacteria; Bacillati; Bacillota; Tissierellia; Tissierellales; Peptoniphilaceae.